UACGGAGGGUGCAAGCGUUAUCCGGAAUCACUGGGUUUAAAGGGUGCGUAGGCGGUUCGAUAAGUCAGUUGUGAAAUACCCCGGCUUAACCGGCGGUCGUGCGAUUGAUACUGUCGGACUUGAAUCAGGUUGAGGUAGGCGGAAUGUGACAUGUAGCGGUGAAAUGCAUAGAUAUGUCAUAGAACACCGAUUGCGAAGGCAGCUUGCUGGACCUGUAUUGACGCUGAGGCACGAAAGCGUGGGGAGCAAACAGG
RNAcentral lists this ribosomal RNA (254 nucleotides) under uncultured bacterium. RNAcentral's name for it is "partial 16S ribosomal RNA". It matches the Rfam family "Bacterial small subunit ribosomal RNA", at positions 524 to 776 of the family's 1533-position model. The record is from RNAcentral.